GAUACGGCUUCAUCGACUAGUUCCAGCUCUAAUUAGAGUAGAAUUAUGGUACCAAACAUGUCGACUACAAAUUUAAAACACUAAUAAUUUGGAAGUCGUCAUACUCGUAUCAACACGAUGUAAAAAAUGAUUUGCGUAAAUAAGCAAGCAAGGCCUCUGACACGAAACUAAUCAAAAGUGUUGAAAGACCAACACAAAAUUUGAUUGCUCUGCCUUAAUUAUGCCUGCAGCAUAAUUACAAGUGUACGUGUGUGUUCUGGUAAGCAAUUGGAGUAAGACCGAAUAUAAUUCGAGUUAGGAGCCUGUGUAUUGACCGCGUAUAAACGCGCGCUGUCUAGAGGUGCAAAAAUAGAUAGGCCAGACAAGUCUAGCUCGAGCAAAACAAUCAGUUUUGUGUGUUUGAAAAGUAGAAACAGACCACAAGUCCAGCAGUGAGAGACUGGAAGAAAUAUUUACUGUUUAAGCAGGAAAUAGAAGUGGAAUCAAAAAUAGCCUGCUGGCAAGCUGGACUAAGAGGAGCUUGCCAGACAAAGAUUAGGAGAUUUGAUAUUCAAAAGUGAAAAGUGAAUUUCAAAUGGGGCAUUGAUGGACUGAAAGAAAUAUUUAUGUUUCAGCAGGAAACAGAUUUGGAACCGAAAUAGUCUGCUGGGUUUCAAUUAAAACAUUUUGAGGUGAUCAUUAAGAAAAACCGAAGCAUGUUAGAGCAAAUAUUCUAAACAAAAAUUAAAACCCAAUUAUGCUAAACGACUGAUAAAGUUUGUUGAUUUAUAAUUAAAUAAAAGCAACAUAAAAUCCCGGGGACUAUUCCACGUCGAUAAUUGGACUCUAAAUUUCGAGGGUCUACCUAAUUUAUCGUCCGGACCAAUGUUAACUUAUCAGAUCUUCAAACCUGAUAAAAGUUAGGAUUGUGUAUGCUUAGGUAGAACCCCAACAGCUUCCGACCAAAAAAGUCAGUUGAAAAUGUGUCUGAAACUCAUAAGUAUUGAGAUUGGGAGUUUGGAGUUUGAAAAGUGGCGUUCCAGUUAAAACAUUUUCUUGUUACAAACCACGUUUUCCUGAUUCCUUAAGGGACCACAAAAUUGCCUAUUUGCUCAAAAUGUUCGACAUAAGUUGAACGAGCAAAAGCAAAAGGACGCAAGACAUCUGCUUCUCUAAGUCACCUUUGGGACCGGUAGCAGGUGCUGAAGAUGGCCAUGUUUCCUUCGUUCACCACAUGGAUUUCGUCUUGCUAAUGUUAUCAAAGGUAAAAUUGCUUAUUAAGUUAUACGCAUAU
Dendroctonus ponderosae (mountain pine beetle) is the source of this 1273-nucleotide long non-coding RNA. RefSeq lists it as uncharacterized. The transcript is spliced from 3 exons. NCBI's taxonomy places the organism in Eukaryota, Metazoa, Arthropoda, Insecta, Coleoptera, Curculionidae. The record is from RefSeq and is a predicted model, not a curated record.